This is a long non-coding RNA of Pongo pygmaeus (Bornean orangutan), 5954 nucleotides long. RefSeq lists it as uncharacterized. The record is from RefSeq and is a predicted model, not a curated record. The transcript is spliced from 2 exons. Lineage: Eukaryota; Metazoa; Chordata; Mammalia; Primates; Hominidae.
GGAGGGACUCUGGCUGCUCGGAGGCCUGGCCCGGGGCCCCGCUCCGUGGUGGGGGUUUUAAGGGCUGGUCCAAGUCGGUGUAAGGCUGGCAGGGUGAGGGUCUGUUCUUGUGUGUUUGUAUAGGGUGAGAGCACUAGUUUGUGGUAUAAUGGCAUUUGUGUGGAUUGUGGAAUAGAAUUGUGUGUCUCAGCUAGGACUUUAGUCAAUUUGUGUCAGUUGUAAUUGUUUGAAUAAGUUAAAGGCUGGAGAGGCUGGGGCUACUUAUGUAGAUUUGGUCAAGAUGUCUAGCUGUCCUUGUGCUUCUAGAUUGUUUUGAGUUAGGGCCAGCACGUGCAUUUGUGAGGCUGCAGAGUGCCUAUGACGGUGUGGAAAUGCAGUUUAUUGAAUUUGUGUGCCACGGUCUGGUUGCACUGUGUAUCUGUGAAUUCGCCUGGAGUUGUGCAUCUCAGAAGAUGGGGGUGGCCUCGGUGUGUGUGGCUUGCGGGGACGUUUCUCGGUGUUCGGAUGGGGGUCCCUGUGAUGGAUGUCCAUGCCCAGCCCUAGGGCAACAUCUGUGUGUCUUGGGAUCGAGGCGUGUGUGUCUAGUGAGGAGGCUUGGGCUGGGGUGUCGUUCCAGCAGCGCCCCACUAACUCCGGAGUUUGGCAAACAGCCGUUUCGUGUAACUGCGCAUUUUUCUAGACCAGUCUUUAUUAUUCCAGCAAUCAGCGCUGGAAUUACUGGGGCGCCGCCUAGAAGCAGCCGCGGGCGGGGCGGCAGAGGAUGUCGGCCUCCAGCGUCUGGGGAGCGCGCCCGAAAGCCGGGCUGCGUUGCGGGGCCGCUCGCGCCUCGCCCGCAGCUUCCGGCCCGCGCCCUCCGCUCGGCCGCCGAUUUUCUUGCCCCAGCCAGCCCCGUAGCCAGGGGAAAGUGGGAGUUUUGAGAACCCUCUGACCCCAGCCGUGACCCCUCUCCGGGAGGUGGCUUCUCCCGCAUGACCCGGUGCGCCAGAAAACUCUAGGCGGCGCCACGCUUGGAAGCGCAAGGUCCAUUCAUCAGCCGCGCCCCAGCGUCUAAUUGGCCUUUUGUUUAUUAGUGUCUGUUGCCCGGCUGGGGGUCUCCGGAGGGCCCCGGAGCUGUGAGUCGGGGUGCCAGAAGCGGGCGGCGGAUCGGCGCCCAGAGCUGGGGUCCGGGUAGGGCAGAGGCGCGUCGCACUCCUCUGAGGGGGCGCCAGAGCGCGCCAAAGAUCACGCCCACGUGCGGAGAUGCGCGCAUGGAGGCUGGACUCCGAGUGCCAGAGCCUGGUCCUCCCGGCUGCUAAGGCCCCAGGCUUCGCCCCUGCCCCCACCUCCACCUGCAGACCGAGCCCUCCCCAUCUCUCCACACCCUCAGGAUUUCAGACCCGCCUUCCUGCCUCUCCUAAGUUCCCAUCCCAGGCGCUGGCCUUGUGGCUGGGUUCCGCUCACGUCCCGCCGUUCCUCGUUCUUCGUGCUUCGAGUUCAUUCGUCGUUGCUCCGCCGCUUACCCCGGGGAGUAAGCUCCCCGUUUACUCUGGGUUUCCCUCCCUAAACACCAACCCGGCAGUAUGGAGCCAGCCUCCUGCUUCGCCGGGUGGUAUGAUUGAGAGAAUGUUUUUGGCAAGGCAGGGAGAGAGGGACGAGACAGAGCACUCAAAAUUCCACCUUCCUCACCAAGUCAAACCUCACCUUCCGAUCCCUAUCUCCCAUCCAGUGUUCAAUCUCCACAUCGAGCCUCGCCAUCCUCCUCCCUACCCCACACUUACUGCCCCUCCUCCCACUCCCGAGAGACAGUAGAGAAGUAAGGUCUCCAUUCCCAGCACAGGCACAAAGGCCAAGAUGCACCUGGGGGUCCCGAAGGUGCUUGGGGUGGGCAUGCGGUCUCAUUUGGAAAAUGACUUGAGGAUGAUCGGCCUCGCCUGGCGGUGGCCUGGCUGUCGGCAACGUCUGGAUGGCUGGGCCUCAGCCUGGCCCCAGACGUCCCCUGCUCCCAGCCAGCUCCAGGCCCUAUAUAUAGCACGGGUCUCCAUAGCCCUGGCUGGACCCUGACGUCAGAAAGAACUUGAUCUUGCCUGCUUCGCUCCUGCUUCUGAAACUGAUCCUUGAAAUGAGAGAACAGACUCUACACAAUUCCCAUGGCCUUGACAUAAGGUUGCAAUUGCCUUUUCCUUUUCCUUUUACUACUCUGGCCCAUGAGGUGAGAGGCUGGGGACACUGAGGCAGGAGACUAGGCGGGUUUUGGGGAGGGACCUCAGAGAGGAUGUGGUGCAGGCAUCAGGCCCUGUCCCUCUGGCCCCAUUUGCUUGGCCCUUGUUCCCGUUUCUCUCCAGCCCAGGAAGGAUGCCUAAGCAAUCGGCUCUGCACAGCUACCAAGCACAGGGCCAGCGCGGCUGCCCACUCACCUAAUGCCACGGGCUUCCUCCCGCUGCACCUGGUGCCACCGCCCGACAUUCCUUAGGCCCCCCCGGGGCCUCAGUGCAGUCUAUUCCAACUUUUACCCCCACUCCCACCCCAGUAACAGGGAGAGAAAGGAUACGGGGAGUUGAGAAACCAACGCCAAACCUCCACAUCGCCCGCAGCCACCUCUCUUGUUCGGAAAUGAAUUUUGGCAAAAGAUUAGUUCCUAAUCUGAUCUAACGCUGCUGACAUUUGGGAAGAAGAUGAAAAUGGCAGCUUAAUUUCAUUCUGAAACAGGGUCACUUCGCAGGGCUCUGCUCUCCAGAGAAUGUGGACGCCCCUCCCCUCCCCUGAAACAGAAGAGCUGGAGGGGCAGCCAUGCCAGGGACUGCCCAUCCCCAGGUCAGCCAGAGCCCCUGGGCCCUGGGCCUGUCUGCGGUUGAAUGGCAGGAGUGGAGGGAGGCUGUCUGGGCUGGGGCCACUGCCUGCGUCCUCUGCUGUCUGCUGUCAGGGCAUUGUGCUUCCACACAGAUAGGGGCUCCUGGGCCCCCAUAGAAGACUCUUUAGGCUAGAGAGCCUCUUUCUUGUAGGGAGGCCCUGGGGAAGGUAAGAAAGUUUCAGGAGUCACCAGUGGAGUAAUUAAAGGAAGAUGUCCCCAGGGCCUGUGGGGGUACUUUCCCCUGUGCUUCCUGGGUAAGUAAAAGCACAGCUAGGGCUCAGUGGCUGGCAUUGGCUGAGGUUCUGGCUUACUUGGAAGCCAUGGGUCUGGAGACAGCUGCUCUGGCACUUGGCUCCAUGAGCUGCAAGGUCCUCCUGGAGGCACAACUCUCCCUUUCCCCCCGCUUCCCUGCUUUCUCCCAGACACACACUCACCCACUGCAAACCCAAGAGGUGGGUGGGCCAUGUUCUUGGUCACCUAGCAGAGCCCACCAUGUCCAGCCUUUGUCCUCAACAGGGGCCACACUGGCAGUGGCCUCAUCCUGGGUCAGGUAAGAGAGGGCAGGUAAGUCAGUUGUUGGGGGACCUGCCUGGUAACUCGAUCUUGUUCCUGAGGGAUCAGGCACUUCUGAGACCUUCUCUGUGGGGUGCAGGGCCUAGAAUGGGGGUUGAGGGCAUCAUCAUCAGCUCAGGUCAAGGCCAAGCAGGAGAAUCUGUGCUUGGGUCCCUAGGAAGGGGUGUGCUAAUGAAGAGAGUUCUGUGCCAUGUACCUCGCAUGCUACUGGCUGCAUAUGUAUGAGUGGCUAUACCUGAAUAUGCUUGUACAGCAUGCAACUUUGAACAUGUGGAUCACAAACAUGUAUGUAAGUGUGCAUGUGACCAUGGGGGUUGGGGUUGCUGUAGCCCAUACUGUGUCUUUGUGCAGCUUAGACAAAGGCAUCCCUUCUUCUGGGUGGCAGGCAUCCCUUCCUCUCCUGUGGCUUGCCAAGUGGAAUGUGAGCUGGAUUUCAGCAGAGCACCCCGUCGCCCAUCCUUUUGUCCAGACUUCCUAAGCAGUACACAAUCUCGAGCCCAUAAACUCAAAUUCUGGUGGAGACGUCUGUGUGUUGGGUGUGGUAUUAUCCAAGGGUGACUUUAUUAUUGAGAAUCAGCUUUAUUCCUAGGAGUCCCUCCUUCAGUGGCACCCAGCUGGGGACUGCCUCUUGCCCCCUUUGCAGUACAGAGGACCUGAAGAGCAACAGCCACCACCAUCUUGGACCCUUAAAGCCCCUGAUCAGUAUGUAAGCCUGGUAAGCACAGACACAUUUGCACUUGUGAGUGGGGCUGAGUAACAGAGUACAUGUGUAUGGAUGGAUGUUCAGAAGUGUGAAUAUUUGUGUGAGUGAGUAUAGCUGGGCACAGGUGUGACCAUGAGGGUGGAGAGGGCAUGACUGGACAUGUUUGUGGGAGCCACAGUGAGGUGCAUGGUUAUGGGGUACAGCUGGCUUCUCUGUGGUGGCUCCCCCAGCCUCACACAGGCAUAGCCCACCUUUGGCCAUGGUGGUCUGCUUCCUAAAGGACUCACUGCCACUCCUCUCCUUAACCCACUCUAAAUGACUGCAAUUGGCUGGACGCGGUGGCUCACCCCUGUAAUCCCAGCACUUUGAGAGGCUGGGGUGGGCAGAUCACGAGGUCAGGAGAUCGAGACCAUCCUGGCUAAUACAGUGAAACCCCAUCUCUACUAAAAAUACAAAAAAACAGCCGGGCGUGGUGGCAGGCACCUGUACUCCCAGCUACUUGGGAGGCUGAGGCAGGAGAAUGGGGUGAACCCGGGAGGCGGAGCUGGCAGUGAGCCGAGAUCACGCCACUGCACUCCAGCCUGGGCGACAGAGCGAGACUCCAUCUCAAAAAAAAAAAAAAAAAAAAGACUGCAAUUAUGGCCUUCCAUGAAAGCCAGAAGUAGUGUCUGCUACUGUAGAUUACUUCAAGUGGAAGGCCACUGCUUUGUUAAGUAAACAGCACCAUGUUGACUCAAAUGUUGCUUUCUAUACUUGCCGUUUAGGGGCAGCACAAAGGGACUUAAGCAGCUCCAAGGACCCUUGGGUGGUGGUGUCAUUCAGGGUUUAUUGAAAGCAGAGCCCUUUAAAGGCCCCCCUUCUCUGCCCACACCCUAUGGCACCCCACAACCUGCUUCCGUCUCAAAUCUUGAGUUUUCGUAGCUGAAAAGGAGACUUUAUUUAUAAUAUACUGAAUAUGCUACAGACCACAUCCACUUGUCAGCCUCAGGAGGGUAGAGGAAGAGAGCAUGUGUGGGCCUGUGUGUACACAUGUGAGGUGUAUGUGUGUGUACCAAUGAUCUAAGCCCAUUAGCUAUUUGUGGAAACCCCAGGAAGGGUAAUCUCUAGAGGGGUCACUUGGUUCUUUGCCCCAGGGAAGGGAACAGGUGAGCCAGGAGCCUCUGGGAGUCUAGCAUCCAAGCCUCAUGCUCAUUUCGGAAGCUCUCUCCCCACCUCUGGCCCUGGGUUAGAUUGUAGGCCAGCCUGUGGGCAGGAGUAAAUAGCCGCUGUUUCUGCUUCAAAUGCCUACUCAGUGCCAGCACUUCAUGAACAUUACGGCUGUCUGCUCCCCACCCCUACCCCCAUGGGUCAGGCCCUAGUUACCUGCCCUCCCUGCUCACUGCCCUUUCUGGCCUCUUCUUCUAUUGCAGACCAGUGGGUGAUGGGAGGCACUUGGGGAGGGAGAGGACCUUGUGGUAGUUCCUUCCCGGCAUCAUGACUCACUCUCUCAUCCUGGUGAAAGGGACCAAGCCAAUGGGUGUAGAGGUGUCACUAUAAAGAGACAGGAUCCAGCAUAGCCCUGUCCUGAACCUUCCUGCUUCCUGUCUAAUCGUGAUUUUCACCCAUUUCUCCGUGUCUGCUUGCUUGAGGCCACAGAGGGGGCUGUGCCCAGGAAAGGGAAAGUUUUUCCCCUGAGCCCUGUACCUUCUCUCAACCAUCCAACCUUCCUUCCUUCCUCCCUCCCUCCCUUCUUUCCUUCUUUCCUUCCUUCCUUCCUUUCAUAAUAUUUGUUUAACUUAGAGAGAUUUAUUACACAAAUGAACUCAUUCAUAUGUGAAAUGACAUAUAUAUAACAUUAUUAUUAUUAUUAUC